ACUGAGUCGCCGACUCCACAAGGGGAGUCGCCGACACUGGCGAGGCGCCAAGUAGUUCGUUCACGGUGGCACUUAGCUCCAUAUCAUGAGGUGGCACGAUCGGAAUCGCCGACUCAACCUCUCUGUCAGGAGAGGGAAUCGGCGAUUCAACGGUGUUCAACACCUCAUCCAGAUUCUCAACAGUGAUUUCAGCUAUGAAAGCUGACGUUUCAUCUUCGGACAAAGGGGAAUCGGGGGUAGACAUGAGGGCAAUC
Molecule: long non-coding RNA, 254 nt
Filed under: Zostera marina
Lineage: Eukaryota; Viridiplantae; Streptophyta; Magnoliopsida; Alismatales; Zosteraceae
Description: long non-coding RNA (ZMAR_LNC001680)
Source: RNAcentral